This 399-nucleotide ribosomal RNA is filed under the name Alcaligenes sp. RNAcentral describes it as "partial 16S ribosomal RNA". It matches the Rfam family "Bacterial small subunit ribosomal RNA", at positions 350 to 734 of the family's 1533-position model. The record is from RNAcentral. Lineage: Bacteria; Pseudomonadati; Pseudomonadota; Betaproteobacteria; Burkholderiales; Alcaligenaceae.
AGGGGGGGAAAUUUUUGGGAACAAUGGGGGGAACCCUGAUCCAGCCAUCCCGCGUGUUUUAAAAAAAAGCCUUCGGGUUGUAAAGUACUUUUGGCAGACAAGCUUCAAUACCCCUAAUACGGGAUACUGCUGACGGUAUCUGCUGAAUAACCACCGGCUAACUACGUGCCACCAGCCUCUUUCCAUACGUAGGGUGUAAGCGUUUUAUCGGACUUACUGGGCGUAUUGCGUGUGUAUGCGGUUCUGUAAGAAAGAUGUGAAAUCCCAGGGCUCAACCUUGGAACUGCAUUUUUAACUGCCCGAGCUUUAGUAUGUCGAGGGGGGUAGAAUUCCACGUGUUUUCUCUGAAAUGCUUAGAUCUGUGGAGGAUUAACGAUCCUCUAUGGCUUCCCCCCUGCU